This 399-nucleotide ribosomal RNA is filed under the name uncultured bacterium. Its description in RNAcentral is "bacterial SSU rRNA". It matches the Rfam family "Bacterial small subunit ribosomal RNA", at positions 28 to 429 of the family's 1533-position model. The record is from RNAcentral.
GACGAACGCUGGCGGCGUGCUUAACACAUGCAAGUCGAGCGGUAAGGCCCUUUCGGGGGUACGACGAGCGGCGAACGGGUGAGUAACACGUGGGUGACCUGCCCUCAGCUCUGGGAUAAGCCUGGGAAACCGGGUCUAAUACUGGAUAUGACUCCAUGACGCAUGUUGUGGGGUGGAAAGCCUUGUGCGGCUGAGGAUGGGCCCGCGGCCUAUCAGCUUGUUGGUGGGGUGAUGGCCUACCAAGGCGACGACGGGUAGCCGGCCUGAGAGGGCGACCGGCCACACUGGGACUGAGACACGGCCCAGACUCCUACGGGAGGCAGCAGUGGGGAAUCUUGCGCAAUGGGCGAAAGCCUGACGCAGCGACGCCGCGUGAGGGAUGACGGCCUCGGUUGUAAC